Molecule: ribosomal RNA, 770 nt
Filed under: uncultured bacterium
Lineage: Bacteria
Description: bacterial SSU rRNA
Rfam family: Bacterial small subunit ribosomal RNA
Source: RNAcentral
AGAGUUUGAUCAUGGCUCAGAACGAACGCUUCGGCGCGCCUAAUACAUGCAAGUCGAACGAGAAAGUACCUUCGGGUACGAGUAGAGUGGCGGACGGGUGAGGAACGCGUGGAUAACCUUCCCUUCAGCGGGGGAUAACUAUUCGAAAGAGUAGCUAAUACCGCAUAUGACCACACUCUCUGCGGAGAGAGUGGUAAAAGGCUUCGGCCACUGAAGGAUGGGUCCGCGUCCGAUUAGCUUGUUGGUGGGGUAAUGGCCUACCAAGGCUACGAUCGGUAGCUGGUCUCAGAGGAUGAUCAGCCACACUGGAACUGAGACACGGUCCAGACUCCUACGGGAGGCAGCAGUAGGGAAUAUUGCACAAUGGAGGAAACUCUGAUGCAGCGACGCCGCGUGAGCGAUGAAGGCCUUCGGGUUGUAAAGCUCUGUGAUAUGGGAAGAUAAUGACGGUACCAUAUCAGAAAGGACCGGCUAACUUCGUGCCAGCAGCCGCGGUAAUACGAGGGGUCCAAGCGUUGUUCGGAAUUACUGGGCGUAAAGCGGGUGUAGGCUGCCAUGAAAGUCGGAUGUGAAAGCCCAGGGCUCAACCCUGGAAGUGCAUCCGAUACUUCAUGGCUUGAGUACUAGAGAGGGAAGCGGAAUUCCUGGUGUAGCGGUGAAAUGCGUAGAUAUCAGGAGGAACAUCGGUGGCGAAGGCGGCUUCCUGGCUAUGUACUGACGCUCAGCCCGAAAGCGUGGGUAGCAAACAGGAUUAGAUACCCUAGUAGUCC